UACGUAGGGUGCGAGCGUUGUCCGGAAUUAUUGGGCGUAAAGGGCUCGUAGGCGGUUUGUCGCGUCGGGAGUGAAAGUCCAGGGCUCAACCCUGGGAUGUCAGUGGAUACUGGAAGGCUCGAGUCCGGAAGAGGCAAGUGGAAUUCCUGGUGUAGCGGUGAAAUGCGUAGAGAUCGUAAGGAAGGCCAGUGGCGAAGGCGGCGAUCUGGGUCGAUACUGACGCUGAGGUGCGAAAGCGUGGGGAGCAAACAGG
Molecule: ribosomal RNA, 253 nt
Filed under: uncultured bacterium
Lineage: Bacteria
Description: partial 16S ribosomal RNA
Rfam family: Bacterial small subunit ribosomal RNA
Source: RNAcentral